Long non-coding RNA from Chinchilla lanigera (long-tailed chinchilla), 1048 nucleotides. RefSeq lists it as uncharacterized. The record is from RefSeq and is a predicted model, not a curated record. The transcript has 3 exons. Lineage: Eukaryota; Metazoa; Chordata; Mammalia; Rodentia; Chinchillidae.
UCUUGUUCCAGCCACCUGGCACUGUCCCCUCUCACCUUCCUGUGUUCUUGGUGCACCUAGGUGUGGAUUAUUCAUACCUGGGUGCAAAUCCCCCCUGCAGCUGGUGUGUGAGCUCAGGAAGGUAUGGGGCCAUUGUGAGCCUCAGUCCAUUCCUGUGGGUUGUAGGAAUUCCAGUGGGAAGGAGGGGUUUUGCAUAUAGUAGGCCUCCAAGGCCUGUAUGUAAGCCUGGCCUGGUCAUUUGCUGGCCUUAAAGGCCCUCAGCUUCCAAGGCAUUUUCUCCCCCAGCUGCAACGGAGCCCUUGCUUGCUGUGAGGACCUCACAGGGUCUGGCUCACCUGCAACGGCACAUGGAAGCACUCUGUCCCUGUCUGCCAAAGCCACAAGGGAGACGAGCCGCUUGUCUUUCUCAGGCCAGACUUCAGACAUGGGUGAGCAAGGAAGACAGAAGACAAAGCAUACUGGAACUUCAGAGGGACACAUGUUGAAACUACUUAUGGUCUCUUUAUGGACAAAACAGAGGAGAAAAUGUUAAUGUGUCCAGGAGCCCCUGCCCCGCUGGCUAGCACAGCCUGAUCCUUGCAGACUUGGAGCUCGGCACAGACCCAGGAGCCCCGGGAGCACCCUGGAAUCUCCUGACACAUUCCUUGGCCUGGCCUUGUGCCCUGCCCUGGCAGGCCCAGUCUGGCAGAGUGGCUGCAUCCUUCCAUCUGUCUUGAUGCUGGAAACAAGGAGCUCAGCUCCCCUGAAGCCACCACCUGCCUCUUGGGGGUCUGAGGCACUUUGGCCAGGGCUAGCCCCGGUGUCAGCUUCCUGGGAGCCGGGGCUGGGUGGGCUGACAUUCAGACAUGUCUGGCUCCUGUUCUGAAGGGUAACACCUGUUUCAGAGGAGGAGGACCCUCCUGUGGGGAGCUGGGCUUGUGGUGGGUGGGGUGGGUGGAGGCUCAUUACUGCUCAUCCAUCCUGUACAGCAGCCCCAGAAAAUAUUUACUUGUUUUUAUAUAUUACUGUUUUUUAUUCUCUAUGUCUUUUCAUUUUCUUUGUAGUUUUU